AUUGAACGCUGGCGGCAUGCCUUACACAUGCAAGUCGAACGGCAGCACGGGUGCUUGCACCUGGUGGCGAGUGGCGAACGGGUGAGUAAUAUAUCGGAACGUACCUUAUCGUGGGGGAUAACGCAGCGAAAGCUGCGCUAAUACCGCAUACGCCCUGAGGGGGAAAGCGGGGGACCGUAAGGCCUCGCGCGAUUAGAGCGGCCGAUAUCUGAUUAGCUUGUUGGUGGGUAAAGCCCACCAAGGCGACGAUCAGUAGCUGGUCUGAGAGGACGAUCAGCCACACUGGGACUGAGACACGGCCCAGACUCCUACGGGAGGCAGCAGUGGGGAAUUUUGGACAAUGGGCGCAAGCCUGAUCCAGCCAUGCCGCGUGCGGGAUGAAGGCCUUCGGUGUAACCGCUUUGUCAGGGAAGAAACGC
This 419-nucleotide ribosomal RNA is filed under the name uncultured bacterium. Its description in RNAcentral is "bacterial SSU rRNA". It matches the Rfam family "Bacterial small subunit ribosomal RNA", at positions 30 to 453 of the family's 1533-position model. The record is from RNAcentral.